CCUACGGGUGGCAGCAGUGAGGAAUAUUGGUCAAUGGGCGCAAGCCUGAACCAGCCAAGUCGCGUGAGGGAUGACGGUCCUAUGGAUUGUAAACCUAUUUUGUCGGGGAGCAAGGCCCGCCACGUGUGGCGGGAAGGAGAGUACCCGAAGAAAAAGGAUCGGCAACCUCCGUGCCAGCAGCCGCGGUAAUACGGAGGAUGCGAAGGUUAUCCGGAUUUAUUGGGGUUAUAGGGUGCGUAGGCGGAAGGUUAAGUCAGCGUUCAAAUGUCGGUUCUCAACACCGGCCUGCCGUUGAAACUGGUCUGCUUGAGUGAGCGAGAAGUAUGCGGAAUGCGUGGUGUAGCGG
This 346-nucleotide ribosomal RNA is filed under the name uncultured bacterium. Its description in RNAcentral is "partial 16S ribosomal RNA". It matches the Rfam family "Bacterial small subunit ribosomal RNA", at positions 338 to 681 of the family's 1533-position model. The record is from RNAcentral.